AGCGAACGCUGGCGGCAGGCCUAACACAUGCAAGUCGAACGAACUCUUCGGAGUUAGUGGCGGACGGGUGAGUAACACGUGGGAACGUGCCUUUAGGUUCGGAAUAACUCAGGGAAACUUGUGCUAAUACCGAAUGUGCCCUUCGGGGGAAAGAUUUAUCGCCUUUAGAGCGGCCCGCGUCUGAUUAGCUAGUUGGUGAGGUAAAGGCUCACCAAGGCGACGAUCAGUAGCUGGUCUGAGAGGAUGAUCAGCCACAUUGGGACUGAGACACGGCCCAAACCCCUGCGGGAGGCAGCAGGGGGAAAUCUGGCGAAAUGGGCGAAAGCCUGACCCAGCCAUGCCGCGUGAAUGAUGAAGUUCUUAGGAUUGUAAAAUUCUUUCACGGGGGACGAUAAUGACGGUACCCGGAGAAAAAGCCCCGGCUAACUUCGUGCCAGCCCCCGCGGUAA
Molecule: ribosomal RNA, 449 nt
Filed under: uncultured bacterium
Lineage: Bacteria
Description: partial 16S ribosomal RNA
Rfam family: Bacterial small subunit ribosomal RNA
Source: RNAcentral